Molecule: ribosomal RNA, 468 nt
Filed under: uncultured bacterium
Lineage: Bacteria
Description: partial 16S ribosomal RNA
Rfam family: Bacterial small subunit ribosomal RNA
Source: RNAcentral
GACGAACGCUGGCGGCGUGCUUAACACAUGCAAGUCGAACGGAAAGGCCCUGCUUUUGUGGGGUGCCCGAGUGGCGAACGGGUGAGUAACACGUGAGUAACCUGCCCUUGACUUUGGGAUAACUUCAGGAAACUGGGGCUAAUACCGGAUAGGAGCUCCUGCUGCAUGGUGGGGGUUGGAAAGUUUCGGCGGUUGGGGAUGGACUCGCGGCUUAUCAGCUUGUUGGUGGGGUAGUGGCUUACCAAGGCUUUGACGGGUAGCCGGCCUGAGAGGGUGACCGGCCACAUUGGGACUGAGAGACGGCCCAGACUCCUACGGUAGGCAGCAGUGGGGAAUAUUGCACAAUGGGCGGAAGCCUGAUGCAGCAACGCCGCGUGCGUGAUGACGGCCUUCGGGUUGUAAACCGCUUUCGCCUGUGACGAAGCGUGAGUGACGGUAAUGAGUAAAGAAGCACCGGCUAACUACGUG